UCUAAUACUGGAUACUACCUCUUACCGCAUGGUGGGUGGUGGAAAGGGUUUUACUGGUUUUGGAUGGGCUCACGGCCUAUCAGCUUGUUGGUGGGGUAAUGGCUCACCAAGGCGACGACGGGUAGCCGGCCUGAGAGGGUGACCGGCCACACUGGGACUGAGACACGGCCCAGACUCCUACGGGAGGCAGCAGUGGGGAAUAUUGCACAAUGGGCGGAAGCCUGAUGCAGCGACGCCGCGUGAGGGAUGACGGCCUUCGGGUUGUAAACCUCUUUCAGUAGGGAAGAAGCGAGAGUGACGGUACCUGCAGAAGAAGCGCCGGCUAACUACGUGCCAGCAGCCGCGGUAAUACGUAGGGCGCAAGCGUUGUCCGGAAUUAUUGGGCGUAAAGAGCUCGUAGGCGGUUUGUCGCGUCUGCUGUGAAAGCCCGGGGCUCAACCCCGGGUCUGCAGUGGGUACGGGCAGACUAGAGUGCAGUAGGGGAGACUGGAAUUCCUGGUGUAGCGGUGAAAUGCGCAGAUAUCAGGAGGAACACCGAUGGCGAAGGCA
RNAcentral lists this ribosomal RNA (549 nucleotides) under Kocuria sp. GWS-BW-H258. RNAcentral's name for it is "bacterial SSU rRNA". It matches the Rfam family "Bacterial small subunit ribosomal RNA", at positions 162 to 723 of the family's 1533-position model. Lineage: Bacteria; Bacillati; Actinomycetota; Actinomycetes; Micrococcales; Micrococcaceae. The record is from RNAcentral.